GAACAUCUGUUUAAGCCUGUCUAGAUCUUUUAUCAGUCUAGAAAGAUGUUGGAGAAAAGACAUCAUCCUCUUCUAUAAUCUCCAUCUGUAAUUGGACUAACUGGACCAGUGAAUGCAGGCAACUUACUCUCCAUUCGACCUUGCAGGUCACACCAUGGUCUCAAGAGGGAAAAUGAGUGCUCUAUGGAUUGAACAGAAAAGGAGAAUCAAAACUCCAACCAUCUGUAUGAGGGUCUGGAUGGAUAAAGGAUGCCCACUGGAGCUGGAAAUGAUGGAUCAGGUGGAUCCACACUUGAACCAUCUGUAUGAUGAUCUGCACCCACUGGAUCUGUAAAUGGUGGAGCAGGUUUCUGAAUUGAUGUCAGAUGCAAAGCAGAAGUUUAUUUUCUUCCAGUUUGGCUUCAUUGUGAAAAAUGCUGGAAACUAAAAUGCAGAAUUCUGGCCUGGUGUUUGGUCCACCCUUUCUCUGGCUUGUGUCUCCGUCUCCAUCAUCAUUAUACUCUUGUCAGUGUUAUAGUAUUGUCGUCUGCGUACCAGGACUUUGUUUCUCAGCUGUCCCUUCUCCUUCAAGCUACAUUUUUGUCAAGCUGCAACAAGUUGGAAUACAUAAUUAUUAACGUUUAAGGAUUUUGAUGUAUGAAAUAUGUAACAAAAGCAAAAAAUGUACAGACAUUCUAUUAAGAAAUUACCUUUUUGUUGUUUGUUUACUGACCUUUCAACCAUAUUGCAUUUAAAAUUGAUCAUCAUACCUUUGGUCUACUGUUAACAGACUACUGUAGAAAACUUUGAAUAAAGUAAAAAAAAAGAGAAAAAAUUAUAAAUGCUGAAUGUGUCUCAUCUUAAAUACAUUGUUGUUGUUUUUUUCAUUGAAUUUGGAUGUUUUGAUGAUUUAAGGAAAAUUUACGUAGCAUAUAUAUUGAUGUUUUAAUUCAGAGUUUGUUAAUGACACUUAAUCAUUAACAAACAUUUAAAAAGGUUUAUUACAAUACUAAUUGAUAAUAUUAAAUUAAUGUAAUAAUCUUGUUUUGUUACACCCUAAAUCACUGAGCGCACAAACGCUACCCCAGUUACAAGCAUGGGUGGUUGACUUCAUGCAGACAUGCGCAGACAUCGAAGUACCGCGAGAGUGAUUCAAAAGCCCACGAAACAGUGUAAUCACGCGGUACUGUGACGUCAUACUGGUUAACGCUAAGCCACGUGAAGCCGGACACAAGGGCUGCACUAAUCUUUGGGCUGGAGUAGCCUGUGGCUUACGUGUCUCGUCGCAGAACGAUUUAUUUCUCUUUUUCACCUCGAUCUUUGGCCUCUUGUGAUUUAACAAAACCAACAUGUGAAGUUACAACGCUGACGAAGGAGUUUAAUCAGUAACGUUAGAGUGUGUCCUGGUAAACGUGUGCUUGGAAACAUGCAGAUUACAGUAUUUACAGAGCCGACCUUGAGGCUAUUUUUUUUGCAUGACAUCCACUGAUGGAUAAUCUGUUUACCUAAAAACAGCACUUCAGGAGAAACCUGCCUGUGAUCUGCUAAGAUGCACAGAUUCAACUCUGGCCCAUUGUCAUCCCAACACCUUAUCUGCCAUCAGUUUCGUUUAGUGUCGAUCUAUUGCAAAAGUUCUUAUAAACUUUAAAUGAGACUUUGUGUUAAGCAGGGGUUUCCAAACUUUUAAUUUCACAACAUAUUAAGCCCAGGAUACACAGCAGGAUUUUUGCAAUCCAAUAGACCUUAUCACACUGUGUGACAAGAAUUGUUUAAACUUUAGCAGUAGACUGUCGAUGAAGACACCUAUUGCAUCUGAGGCUGCGACAUCCGUCAUCAGCAUGCGCUAGUGGUAAACAAAUACAGGUAUGCAGGUCGUAGAAGCAAACACGUUGUUGAUGUGCGUUGAUCAUGCUGAACUUCUUACACUGUCAUAAAACUAUCGUAGGUGUCUUUGGUCCCAGGACUGGGAAAAGAGGUCCACCAAUUAAGAGCCACGAUCACAGAAAUCUCCACGAUUGUUUCACGAUUGGUAAUCUUUCAUCUGGGACAGCCAAAAAUCGUGCCGUGUAUUAUGGGCUUUAGACAUGUGUAAUCUUAUAGUAUAUCAAAACCAUUGCUAAUAAUUAAUUGGACAAACCAUCACUACAAUGCAACACUCGCUAUCUUACGGUGCGACCCACAAGUGGGUCUUCACCCACAGCUUAAAAACCCUGAGUAUGAGUAAGAGUAUGUUGUAUUGUAAUUAAAGUCACAUCUAAGUGUUA
Non-coding RNA from Misgurnus anguillicaudatus (oriental weatherfish), 2243 nucleotides. The record is from RefSeq and is a predicted model, not a curated record. NCBI's taxonomy places the organism in Eukaryota, Metazoa, Chordata, Actinopteri, Cypriniformes, Cobitidae.